RNAcentral lists this long non-coding RNA (2175 nucleotides) under Homo sapiens (human). RNAcentral's name for it is "non-protein coding SMG7-AS1:8". Lineage: Eukaryota; Metazoa; Chordata; Mammalia; Primates; Hominidae. The record is from RNAcentral.
GUAGCGCUCCCUUUUGGGAUCAACGAGCUGUGUGGCGCCUGUGCGGCUUCUGAGAGACCGGCUGGUGGCGCUUGGCGGCUUCCUGCCAAUCCACCCUUCUCCUCCCGCGCAAGGGGGCAAUCCCAAUCCCACCACCGGGAACACCCAGGCCAAAAGAACGGGAGUUACACUCAAAGUCUUCCCCCUUCUUAUCACUCCUGCCGAUUUCCCUCUUCCUUUUUGCACGCCUCCACUCUUCCCCACCGGAAACGCCGCCCCUUCCUCCUACAGUUCCUCCCAGCAGUCCCUCAACGCCUGUCUUCCCUCGCGCGUAGAGAGUGACUCGAAGGACCCCCUCUCCUCUUCGCUGCAGCCCCUCCCCAUGCACGCUGGGAGACUCUUGGAGGGGAUAAGGUGGGGCCCGGAGAGGAAGAGAAGACAAUCGGAUUGGAUAGGCAGCUGCCAUGGCAACUGGAGGCUGUGGUUAUAUUGUCAUAGUAACCGAUGUGUGCGGACAGGGUCACCCUCCCCUUGGCCAAUGGAUUCCCAGGAAACCACCCAGGGUUCCCCGUUGGCUUCCCUUCCAUCUAAAGGCCUCCCCCAAGUUAGGAAUCGAUAUAGUUCUCCCCGGUGGUGAAGUCCACUUCCUCCUCCCUUCCCACUUCCCACAGCAACUGGGGGGACACCCCGAGGCAUUCACCAUGGGCUUUUCCACCCGCCUGCGAGCGGGAACCACCUCCGUAGUUUCCUCUCAGAGCCGGGCGUGGAGAGGGCUGGGCCUGCGAAGAGGAUGCAUGGCCUGGAGGCUGGCGGGCGGCGGGCUGGAGUCGGGAGGGCGAGGCGACAGCGCCAAGCGGCGAGGAAGGGCAAGGGGUUUCCCCACAACUGCCUUGGGCUCUGGGAGGCGGGAUCCCGCCUGGACGGGGUCCCUGAGGGAGGAGAGCGGCACACGACAGCCGCGAUGCCUUCCCUGCCGACGGGGAUAGCCGACUUCUGGUUUCGGGCCAAAAAGCUGAAAUAAAGAACGAAGUCAAUAAUAAUAUGAAGUGUAUGAGAAAUAGCUGGAAAAUUCAUCAUCCAUGACUUGAAGAAAUUGACGUUUUACAAGUUAUAUUUUCGGUGAAGAGGCACUUUCAAGAUCCUUCUCUGAGACCUGCACCAAUAAGACUAUACCAAUGUUCAGUUGAAACAUCAGGUAUAAGUUUAGCGGAAACGAAAGUACAACCUGCUUUGAAAUAAAUUCCAAGGACAGAUUGUCAUUAACGAAAUAGAAAGUGGACUAUGCCCCUCAUGCUGCCAGCGCCUGGUAUGGUGCGGCGUGACACGCAGCGCUUGCGGCAGUACAAUGCCCCCAAUCACCCGCCCCGCCCCGACGCGCCGCCCACUCACGGCAAAGAGAGCCACCUAGUGAGGGAUUAUUCUCAUUUCCGCGGUGGGGUUCUGCUUUUCUUUCUACCAUGAGCGCCCAAGGAUAGACACUCCUACUACCUAUUACCUCAAAUAGCCUACAUUUCUUUCCGAAAAUUUAUUGGUUAGAUAUUUUUCUUUUUUUUUUUUAAUUUAAAGACCAGUGUGAUCGUGUAUUGGUUAGAUUUUUUAAUUGGUUAGAUUUCAACCAGAAUAAAAAUUGUAAUAAUUACCCCCUUACUAAUCAUGGUAAUAGCCAUUUAUGUCUGUGGCACAUAUCUCCAAUAAAGAGUGUAUGAACAGUUAUCAUACAUUCCUGAUAAGCAAUCUAGGAAAAUAUUACUACUAUCUUCUCAUUUUGGAAAUAGAGAAACGGAACACUGUUCUGGUUAUGAUGGACACCACAGUGAAAGAGACCUGGUCCCUGCCUUGAGGAAACCCAACUGCUGGUAGAGAGCUCAGAGUAAUGAUUAGGAUGCAAUAUGAGGGAUGCAGUAAUUGGGGUAAGAACAAAGUAGGAACACAUGAGGUCAGAAAUAAUAAAGUCUGUGUUUUAUAGCAGCUUUCCUAAGAAUCUUAUAAGAGUCUUCAAUAGCUUUACAAUAUCUCUAGCUAAAUAGAAGAAUAGUAGUAUAUUUUAGAGAUUAGAAGACUUUGAUACUAAUAUUAAAAUUACCUUCAAAAAUCAAUAGGACUCAGAAAAAUUAUUACCUUCUAUUUAUAUACUGUUUAAUACACAUUUUCCAUUUUCAUCUAUUUCCACUUGUCCUAGUCAACAAACUUGUAGAA